CUUUCAUUUAGCUUAGUGCUUUCAAGGUUCCUGAUGUCGUAGCGUGAAUGAACACUCCACUCAUUGUCAUGGUUGAAUAAUAACCCAGUGUGUGGAUAGAGCACAUUCUGUUGAUCAGUUGAAGGAUUGCUGACUGCUAACGAAGGACGCUGCUACGACCACUCGUGUACGAGUUUUUGCGUGGACAUAUGUGUUCAGACUCUUGCCUGGUCGUGGAAUUGCAGAGUCGUGUGAUAACUCUAUGUUUAACAUUUUGGGGAACUGCCAGACUCUUUUCCAAGGUGGCUGCACCAUUUGACAAUCCCACGAGCAGGGUAGGAGAGGUCCAGUUUCUCCCCAUCCUUGCCAACACUUGUUGUUGUCUGUCUACUUGAUCAAGGGCACCCAUUGGGUGUAAAGUUUUGUCUCGUUGUGGUUUUGAUUCACGUUUCCCUGAUGGCUGAUGAUGUGAGCAUCUUUUCCUGUGCUUAUUGGCAGCCUCAGUAAGUUUAGCUUGGAAUUAAAAUGGUCCAGUUCAGGGAUUUUCACACUUGCUUGAGCCUUAGAACUCUUUCUUCAGAUCAGAGUUUACAGGAAAAUCUAACACACAAAACAAAGAAACCCGGAGCUGGGGGUCCCUGUGAGUGAAGCGGGGAGAGGGACCCACAGCUGGAGCCGCUCUGCCCCACAUCUCCCCAGAGCCUGCCUUCAAGAGCGAGGCCCCUGACACUAUGAGAACUUGGGAAAGCAUAGUUUGAACCCACUAAUUAGGACAACAUCACAAGAUAACUGAUAAGACCAGGCGGUAAACACUGGAGCAUCUUAAGUGGAGCUUAUGAGAGACACCGAUCCUGAGCUCACGCUGCCGAGCCCCACAAGAGUUCCUGACCCAAAGAAACUGAGAGACAACAAACGCUUAUUGUUGCUUUAAAUCUCUAAGUUUUAGAGUAAUUUGUUGUGUAGCAAUAGAAAACAAAUGCACAAGAAUAGAGUACUAUGAAAAAAGAACAUUUAUAGAACAUAAAAGAGCUCUUGGAAAUUCCAUGCACAAAAGUGGAAAUAAUAAAUUCAAUAGAUAGUUGGAAAUAAAGUUGAGGAAAUGUUCCAGAAAGAAGAGCUAAAAGACAAUGAGAUGGGAAAUGGGAGAGAAAACAUUACCCCUGGAGCAUCAAGCUCAUGAAAAAUAGCAGUUCUUGUUAGAAAGAAGAGAGAAAACAGGGGUCAGAAAAUCCUUACUGAAAUAGUCCAAGAAAAUUUCUCCAAACUGAACUGAAAUACACUUCAGUUACCAAGUUCAAAGGGCACAGCAAGUGCCCACAACAAUGUCUGAAAAUAGAAAUACACUAAGGUACAUCAUGGUCAACUUUCAGAACACCGAGGAUAAAGAGACCCUACGAGCCUGUGUGAAUACACAGACAGAGGGACCUGUCCUAACGAUCAGAAAUGAAAAUAGCUUCAGACCCUCGUUGGUGGAGCAUAGCUUCCUCAGAAAGAAUAUGUGGAAGAACCUUCUUAAAACAUUUUGGCUACCCCGUGGAGACUGUCUGCAGAGGGCAAAGGAGGGACACCCGGAGACGAGCUGAGGGGUUAAUGUGGUGCCCUUGCCACCUCCAAGGCCUUCAGAGGGUCCCUCGAGUGGUCUACUACCAGAGAGCCUUCCUGGAUACCACCUCUUUCUUCCAUGUUCAUGUGUCCCUUUCUCCAGAAGGACCUAAUUUUUCCCUUCUUUGAACUCCUCACAGAUCCAUUCAUUCAUUCAUUCAUUUCCUGUUGGUUUUUUAAAUUAAGGUUUAUUGAACAACCACUAUGCUCCAGACCCUGAGAUUUAAUAUGAGCAAUAAAGAGAAAUAAAAACUUCUCUUAUGGCACUUAUCUCAGACUGUGUUAUAUUAUAGUCGAUCAUAC
RNAcentral lists this long non-coding RNA (1884 nucleotides) under Equus caballus (horse). RNAcentral's name for it is "lncRNA (ENSECAG00000057078.1)". The record is from RNAcentral. Lineage: Eukaryota; Metazoa; Chordata; Mammalia; Perissodactyla; Equidae.